Molecule: long non-coding RNA, 1976 nt
Organism: Callithrix jacchus (white-tufted-ear marmoset)
Lineage: Eukaryota; Metazoa; Chordata; Mammalia; Primates; Cebidae
Source: Ensembl
AGAGAAUUUUGGAUGAAUGCAGAGCUCUUCCUCUGACUUCAAUUGAUACACAGUGAUAAUACUCAAGACUAAUUUCUGCGGCUUUUAUCGCUUGACUGAGCAUUUCUCCGUUUCUGAAGUUUAAAGGGAUUUUCUAAUCUCUUGCUUAUCAGAGGCCGGGCAAAGACCUGUCAUGGUUUAUGGAGGUAAAAGAGAGGCAAUAAAGGCAUUUUUAAGUGCCCUGUGGAAAGCACUGUCAAGUCCAGGCUAUGUCAAGCUGACACUUUGUGGUGAAACAAGAAUCUAAGCUACAAACUCCUGAAAAGAAAGUUUCUAGUCUCUUCUGGUCAUUAGGAGCAUCUAGAUGGACACACCUUGUAAGACCCGUGUCCUUCAUCCCAUCAUCAGUAACGUAGCAUGCUUAGUGCUCUCUGGUGCCUGGCAUCUGUUAAGUGCUAUUUCAGUUAAACGUUAGAGCUGUGAAAUGGUCUCAGAAAAAGGCGUCUGUGGUCAGUCUCAAGUAAAUGCCCAAUGAUCUAAGUAGCUGAUUAAGCAGGGUCACUCCUUACAGUCUAUCAGAUCUGCAUGAAAUGCACUCUGCAGCGGCACGCUCACAGACACAAUGGCAACAGCCCUUUGAACUAAGGCCAUAAGUUUCCUUAAUGGGAUACAUCAAAAUUUAAUGGGCCACUCAGGUUUACUACCUAGACAGAUGUGCUGAGUGCUACUAUUGGGAAGAUUGGAAGGUACUGGCAGUGUGACGCCCUUCCUUUAAAUUCUGUAUCCAACACAGACGCCAUUGUCUAACAUUUUGUAUUUCUUGCUUAACAACAAGGGUUUUAUCAUAAGCAAGUCAACUAUUUUUCUUCAGCGAGGACUUCAAGUACAUUUCUGACCUCAUCUCCCUCUUCCCUCUGUCCUGUCCAGGAACGCGCACUGGCCUCCUUGAUGCUCCUCAGAAAUGCCAAGCUCCAUUUGUGCAGCCUCUGCUGGAACAUUGUGUGUGUCUGGGUCCUCGGAGCAGCAAACACCGGAAUGACGUCCUCUCUUGCUGGCGUUGAUGAAGCCAGAUACCAUGCUGGACAGACAGACCUACAUGGCAAGGAAUUGGGAGAAAUUCCAGCCAACAGUCAGCUAGGAAGUGAGGCCCUCAGUCCAACAGCCCAGAAGUAACUGAAUCCUGCCACCAGCUGUGUGAGACUGCAAGCAGAUGUUUCCUCAAUUGAGGCUUCACAUGAGACCUGGUCAACACCUAAACGGAGGCCUUGUGAGAGGCUCUGCAGCAGAGGACCCAGGUAAGUCAUACCCAGAUUCGUGACAAUAGAAACGGUGAGAUAACAGGUAUGUUGUUUUAAGCAACUACUUGUGGUGAUUUGUCACAUAGUAAUAAACUAGAAAUACAGCCAGCUUUCCAUGAACCCCAACAGAGCAGCCUCUGAUGAGCUGUGAUUUUUAGGGAAAGAAAGGUGGUCCCUUUGGGGAUCAUUUUUCUCAUCUGUAAAGAAAUAUGUGAAAGAGAAACCAUCUAGUGCUCACAGACAAUAGCAAAAUUCAUGAUUCUAUUUUUUAAAUUCCUCUGACAUUAAGGCAGACCUCAUUCACAAUCACAUCAGAUAUAGAAUAUUCUUGAAAGAUAAAUUAACACCGAAAUGUAAAAUAGUUUUCAGUAGUAUUUCCCAUUUUCCACAACAGUACAGAACAACCAAAUAGUUACUUUCUUUUUAAAAACAUUAUUUUUUAUUAUAAAAAUAAUUUGGAAAAUUCAGUAUAUGAUAAAGAAAACUAAAAUCACUCCUAUAACUGUUGGCAACAAGCUGAUGGCUUGUUUCUAGUCUUUCUAUAGACAUACAUUUAAAUAUAUAUGGAUUGACUUUACAAAAUUGGUAUCAUACUACAUAUCCAAUUUUAUAUUUUUAUUUCAAUUAAUAGUAUAUCAAAAAAAUUAAAAAAUUAAAAUGAAAUAUAUAAAUCAAAACAAAGAUGUUGCCACAAAAAAU